Molecule: ribosomal RNA, 357 nt
Filed under: Triticum aestivum (bread wheat)
Lineage: Eukaryota; Viridiplantae; Streptophyta; Magnoliopsida; Poales; Poaceae
Description: partial small subunit ribosomal RNA
Source: RNAcentral
AUGGUAGUGGAGAUAAUUUCUGUUGGCAAACUACUUACGCGAACUCUCUGUUGCGACUCUGCAAAUGCUGGCGAUGCGAAAGUGAAAAAAGUUAUUGAGUUUGAACCCAUGGACCUGUCCAUUCAACCAUGGAAAUACACAAUAUUCUGCAUGUUGCUGAGACCGAACAGCAGUUUUUUGUUCUUCGGUUUGUAUGAAAUUUUUGGUGUUUUUUCUGCCGUAGUUUGCCGACUUUGGUCAAUGGUCAAGUGCCGAUGCUGCAUUUUUCUUGAAUGGAUGUUGCUGCAGGGCGCACAUUUGCUGUUUAUGCAGAAUGGAUUUGGAAAUAGUUUUGAUUUUGAACAAGGAUUCACCUAA